Molecule: ribosomal RNA, 494 nt
Filed under: uncultured bacterium
Lineage: Bacteria
Description: partial 16S ribosomal RNA
Rfam family: Bacterial small subunit ribosomal RNA
Source: RNAcentral
GAUGAACGCUGGCGGCGUGCUUAACACAUGCAAGUCGAACGGUGAAGCGCCUUCCUUUUUGGUGGGUGUGGAUGAGUGGCGAACUGGUGAGUAACACGUGAGCAACCUGCCCCCUUCUUCUGGAUAACCGCAUGAAAGUGUGGCUAAUACAGGAUAUUCUGGGUCUGUCGCAUGAUGGGUCUGGGACAGAUAUUGUUUCGCUGGGGGAUGGGCUCGCGGCCUAUCAGCUUGUUGGUGGGGUGAUGGCCUACCAAGGCGGUGAGGGGUAGCCGGCCUGAGAGGGUGGGCGGUCACAGAAGGGCGGAGAGGCGGAGCAUACUCCGAGAGGAAGCAGCAGGGAAGAUUAUGGCACGGGGGAAGGAAGGAUGAUGCAGCGACGCGGGGGGGGUGAUGGUCGCCGGCGGGUUGAGAACCUCUAUCGGGAGUGAAGCAGGGCGGCCGUGUGUGUGGGUGGGUUGACGGUAGCUAGAUAAGAAGCGCCGGCUAACUACGUG